GAUGAAGAACGCAGCGAAAUGCGAUAAGUAAUGUGAAUUGCAGAAUUCAGUGAAUCAUCGAAACUUUGAACGCAUCUUGCGCUCCUUGGUAUUCUGAGGAGCAUGCCUGUUUGAGUGUCAUUAAAUUCUCAACUACACUGACUUUGAAUUGGUGUGGCUUGGAUUUGGGGGGAAAAUUGUUGUGGGCUUUUUGUAUAGUCUGCUCCCCUGAAAUUGAUUAGCGGUACCUUUGUGGAACUGUCUACAGGUGUGAUAAUUAUCUACAUCUUAGACAUCUGCUGGAAUGCUGCUUUCUAAACCUUACUUGUAUUGACAAUCUUGACCUCAAAUCAGGUAGGACUACCCGCUGAACUUAAGCAUAUCAAUAAGCGGAGGA
RNAcentral lists this unclassified non-coding RNA (376 nucleotides) under soil metagenome. RNAcentral's name for it is "partial contains 5.8S ribosomal RNA, internal transcribed spacer 2, and large subunit ribosomal RNA". The stretch from base 1 to 120 matches the Rfam family "5.8S ribosomal RNA", at positions 35 to 154 of the family's 154-position model. The record is from RNAcentral.